AAAUCUGGCACCUUCGGUGUCCGAGUUGUAAUUUGAAGAAGGUAACUUUGGAGUCAGCUCUUGUCUAUGUUCCUUGGAACAGGACGUCACAGAGGGUGAGAAUCCCGUGCGAUGAGAUGUCUGAUUCUAUGUAAAGUGCUUUCGAAGAGUCGAGUUGUUUGGGAAUGCAGCUCUAAGUGGGUGGUAAAUUCCAUCUAAAGCUAAAUAUUGGCGAGAGACCGAUAGCGAACAAGUACAGUGAUGGAAAGAUGAAAAGAACUUUGAAAAGAGAGUGAAAAAGUACGUGAAAUUGUUGAAAGGGAAGGGUUUGAGAUCAGACUUGGUAUUUUGUAUGUCUUGCUUUCGGGUGGGGCCUCUACAGUUUACUGGGCCAGCAUCGGUUUGGACGGUAGGAUAAUGACAUUGGAAUGUGGCACCACUUCGGUGGUGUGUUAUAGACUUUGUUGAUACUGCCUGUCUAGACCGAGGACUGCGUCUUUGACUAGGAUGCUGGCAUAAUGAUCUUAAACCGCCC
RNAcentral lists this ribosomal RNA (514 nucleotides) under Scheffersomyces stipitis. Its description in RNAcentral is "eukaryotic LSU rRNA". It matches the Rfam family "Eukaryotic large subunit ribosomal RNA", at positions 118 to 650 of the family's 3401-position model. The record is from RNAcentral. Lineage: Eukaryota; Fungi; Ascomycota; Pichiomycetes; Serinales; Debaryomycetaceae.